Molecule: transfer RNA, 88 nt
Filed under: Desulfosarcina ovata subsp. ovata
Lineage: Bacteria; Pseudomonadati; Thermodesulfobacteriota; Desulfobacteria; Desulfobacterales; Desulfosarcinaceae
Description: tRNA-Leu
Rfam family: tRNA
About the family: Transfer RNA (tRNA) molecules are approximately 80 nucleotides in length. Their secondary structure includes four short double-helical elements and three loops (D, anti-codon, and T loops).
Source: RNAcentral
GCCCGGGUGGCGGAAUAGGUAGACGCAAGGGACUUAAAAUCCCUCGAAACUUAGUUUCGUGCCGGUUCGAUUCCGGCCCCGGGCACCA